CAACCCUCCAGCCUUGCUGGGUCUUGGGCUUUGCCGGCAACGGCUAACCCUAAAAUCAGUGGCGGUGCCAACGAGCUCUACGCGUAGUAAUAAAUUCCUCGCGUCUGAGUCUCGGUGGUCGCUUGCCAGCAACCCCCAAUUUCUAUGG
This 148-nucleotide unclassified non-coding RNA is filed under the name uncultured Helotiales. Its description in RNAcentral is "sequence contains ITS2". Lineage: Eukaryota; Fungi; Ascomycota; Leotiomycetes; Helotiales. The record is from RNAcentral.